UACAGAGACUGCAAGCGUUAUUCGGAUUCACUGGGCGUAAAGGGUGCGCAGGCGGCCAAGUGUGUUAGGCGUGAAAGCCCGGAGCUCAACUCCGGAAUUGCACCUAAAACUACAUGGCUAGAGCAUUGGAGAGGGAAGCGGAAUUCACGGUGUAGCAGUGAAAUGCGUAGAUAUCGUGAGGAACACCAGUGGCGAAGGCGGCUAUCUGGACGGUUUCUGACACUAAGACUCGAAAGCGUGGGGAGCAAACAGG
This 253-nucleotide ribosomal RNA is filed under the name uncultured bacterium. RNAcentral describes it as "partial 16S ribosomal RNA". It matches the Rfam family "Bacterial small subunit ribosomal RNA", at positions 524 to 776 of the family's 1533-position model. The record is from RNAcentral.